RNAcentral lists this transfer RNA (73 nucleotides) under Priestia megaterium. Its description in RNAcentral is "tRNA-Cys". The record is from RNAcentral. Lineage: Bacteria; Bacillati; Bacillota; Bacilli; Caryophanales; Bacillaceae.
GGUGGCAUAGCUACGUGGUAAGGUCAAGGUGUGCAAUACCUUUAUCACCGGUCAAAUCCGGUUGCCGUCUCCA